GGGUGAGUAACGCGUAAUCAACCUGCCCUUCAGAGGGGGAUAACAACGGGAAACCGUUGCUAAUACCGCGUACGAUUCACAGGCGGCAUCGCUUGUGAAUGAAAGGUGGCCUCUAUAUAUAAGCUAUCGCUGAAGGAGGGGAUUGCGUCUGAUUAGCUAGUUGGAGGGGUAACGGCCCACCAAGGCAAUGAUCAGUAGCCGGUCUGAGAGGAUGAACGGCCACAUUGGGACUGAGACACGGCCCAAACUCC
This 251-nucleotide ribosomal RNA is filed under the name uncultured Veillonella sp. Its description in RNAcentral is "partial 16S ribosomal RNA". It matches the Rfam family "Bacterial small subunit ribosomal RNA", at positions 104 to 339 of the family's 1533-position model. The record is from RNAcentral. Lineage: Bacteria; Bacillati; Bacillota; Negativicutes; Veillonellales; Veillonellaceae.